RNAcentral lists this ribosomal RNA (499 nucleotides) under uncultured bacterium. Its description in RNAcentral is "partial 16S ribosomal RNA". It matches the Rfam family "Bacterial small subunit ribosomal RNA", at positions 28 to 507 of the family's 1533-position model. The record is from RNAcentral.
GACGAACGCUGGCGGCGUGCUUAACACAUGCAAGUCGAACGGGCCUGUCUUCUUUUUUGGGGGUGGGUUGAGUGGCGAACGGGUGAGUAUCACGUGAGUAACCUGCCCUUCGGUCCUGGAUAACCGCUUGAAAGGGCGGCUAAUACGGGGUGGUCCGGUUGGUCCGCAUGGGCUGGUCGGGAUAGAUUCACUGUUUUUGGUUUUUCGGCGGGGGAUUGGCUCGCGGCCUAUCAGCUUGUUGGUGGGUUGAUGGCCUACCAAGGCGGUGACGGGUAGCCGGGCGGAGAGGGUGGGCGGCCACACUGGGACUGAGAUACGGCCCAGACUCCUGCGGGAGGCAGCAGUGGGGGGUAUUGCACAAGGGGCGGAAGCCUGAUGCAGCGACGUCGCGUGAGGGAUGGAGGCCUUCGGGUUGUGAACCUCUGUUUCCGGUGGUGAAGGCCCUGUCCGUGUGGUGGGGUUGACGGUAGCCGGGGAUGAAGCGCCGGCUAACUACGUG